UUUUAUCGCUAGGGGAGUCUAAAUAAGACUGAGACAGAGAUGUUCUGGACCCUUUGAACUUGAUCCAGUUUAUGCUGGCGUAAGGAAGUGGGAGUAAGAGAUA
This 103-nucleotide non-coding RNA is filed under the name Heyndrickxia sporothermodurans. RNAcentral's name for it is "Bacillus sporothermodurans TPP sequence". It matches the Rfam family "TPP riboswitch aptamer (THI element)". From Rfam's summary of the family: Vitamin B(1) in its active form thiamin pyrophosphate (TPP) is an essential coenzyme that is synthesised by coupling of pyrimidine and thiazole moieties in bacteria. The previously detected thiamin-regulatory element, thi box was extended, resulting in a new, highly conserved RNA secondary structure, the THI element, which is widely distributed in eubacteria and also occurs in some archaea. Lineage: Bacteria; Bacillati; Bacillota; Bacilli; Caryophanales; Bacillaceae. The record is from Rfam by way of RNAcentral.